GACGAACGCUGGCGGCGUGCUUAACACAUGCGAGUCGAACGGAAAGGCCCUGCUUUUGUGGGGUGCUCGAGUGGCGAACGGGUGAGUAACACGUGAGUAACCUGCCCUUGACUUUGGGAUAACUUCAGGAAACUGGGGCUAAUACCGGUUAGGAGCUCCUGCUGCAUGGUGGGGGUUGGAAAGUUUCGGCGGUUGGGGAUGGACUCGCGGCUUAUCAGCUUGUUGGUGGGGUAGUGGCUUACCAAGGCUUUGACGGGUAGCCGGCCUGAGAGGGUGACCGGCCACAUUGGGACUGAGAUACGGCCCAGACUCCUACGGGAGGCAGCAGUGGGGAAUAUUGCACAAUGGGCGGAAGCCUGAUGCAGCAACGCCGCGUGCGGGAUGACGGCCUUCGGGUUGUAAACCGCUUUCGCCUGUGACGAAGCGUGAGUGACGGUAAUGGGUAAAGAAGCACCGGCUAACUACGUG
Molecule: ribosomal RNA, 468 nt
Filed under: uncultured bacterium
Lineage: Bacteria
Description: partial 16S ribosomal RNA
Rfam family: Bacterial small subunit ribosomal RNA
Source: RNAcentral